RNAcentral lists this transfer RNA (71 nucleotides) under Anaplasma phagocytophilum. It matches the Rfam family "tRNA". From Rfam's summary of the family: Transfer RNA (tRNA) molecules are approximately 80 nucleotides in length. Their secondary structure includes four short double-helical elements and three loops (D, anti-codon, and T loops). Lineage: Bacteria; Pseudomonadati; Pseudomonadota; Alphaproteobacteria; Rickettsiales; Anaplasmataceae. The record is from Rfam by way of RNAcentral. RNAcentral also lists the same sequence under 20 other names.
GCGGGUAUAGCUCAAUGGUAGAGUAGCAGCCUUCCAAGCUGCCUGUGUGGGUUCGAUUCCCAUUACCCGCU